CCUCUAUGUUACAUUAAAAAACGUUAGUCACUUUUCAAAAAGUUGACAGAUUUAAAUUUAAAAAAUUUAAUAUUCGUGAUGGGAGAGCAGCUAAGAAAUCUUGUUUUAUUUCAUAUGCUUCAGCCAUAACUAAAAUCAAAUUACAAGACGUUCAGCUCUAUAAAUAAAUCAUUUAUUGAAGUGCUUAGUGUUUCAAAAUCUAGUUGUAAAGUUUCGGGGUUAGCAUUAUAUCAAAAGUGAUAGACAUAUGUUGUACGUAUUUUAUGAAUAUACAUAUAACUGCGGCAACCACAAGAAAAUGCCUCAGAUGGAUAGAUGCACGGAUGGAUUUCAUUACACUAAUGUACUGGGUAAAUUGCCUUUUUAAUCAAGUGUAUUCAGCAAUUCAGAAGAAUCAAUUUGAGCAUAAAGUAUUUAUCAAUUUAUUGUGUAAGCUAUUCGAAAUAAAAGCAUAAAAAUACAUAUUUGAUUAUAAAAAUAAUAGAUGUACGAAGCUUAAUUUAAUGGACGG
This 511-nucleotide small RNA is filed under the name Drosophila pseudoobscura pseudoobscura. RNAcentral's name for it is "GA32867". The record is from RNAcentral. Lineage: Eukaryota; Metazoa; Arthropoda; Insecta; Diptera; Drosophilidae.